This 296-nucleotide non-coding RNA is filed under the name Anaerococcus rubeinfantis. The record is from RNAcentral. Lineage: Bacteria; Bacillati; Bacillota; Tissierellia; Tissierellales; Peptoniphilaceae.
UUUUACCCCAGAUCCAUCAUCAAGUGGGAAAAGUUUUUGAACAAUCCCCUUACCAAAAGAAGUUUUUCCAACAAUUUUUGCCCUACUCCUAUCCUUAAAAGCUCCAGCCAAAAUUUCAGAAGCUGAGGCAGAAUUUUCAUUAAUAAGGACAGUCAUAGGAGUUUUGUCCAUUUCCUUAUCACUUUUUUCAACUAUUUUUUCACCUUUUUUGUCAACAGUUGAAACAAUUACACCCUCAUCCAAAAAUGUAUCGGCAAUAGCAAGACAAACAUCAAGAUUACCACCAGGAUUGUUUC